RNAcentral lists this long non-coding RNA (3108 nucleotides) under Oncorhynchus mykiss (rainbow trout). RNAcentral describes it as "lncRNA (ENSOMYG00000074392.1)". The record is from RNAcentral. Lineage: Eukaryota; Metazoa; Chordata; Actinopteri; Salmoniformes; Salmonidae.
AUGUCUUUUGUGUGUGUGUCAGGUAUAUAUUUAACUGCUCUGAGAGUCUGCUUCCUCCGGUGUGUGUGUGUGUGUGUGUGUGUGUGUAUGUGUGUGUGUGUGUGUGUGUGUGUGUGUGUGUGUGUGUGUGUGUGUGUGUGUGUGUGUGUGUGUGUGUGUGUGUUCUAUCCUCCAUCACCCUCAGUGAGUUAUUUCACGGCUCAGGCUAAGACCCAGAUGCAGACACGGGAGGUGGAUAGUACGAGUCUCAGAGUUUAUUUCAGUACAAGGGGCAAGCAAUCGGUAGGUCAAGGCAGCCAAAGAGUCGUAAUCAAAUCAGAGUCAGACAGGUACAGGACAGGCAGGCAGGAUCAGGCUCAGGACAGGCAGAAAGGUUAGAACUGGGAAGACUUAGAAACGCAAAAACUAGAGCACAGGAAACACGGGGACACGCUGGUAGGACUUGACAGGACAAGACGAACUGGCAACAGACAAACAGAAAACGCAGGUAUAAAUACACAGGGGAUAAUGGGAGACACCUGGUGGGGGGUGGAGACAAUCACAAGACAGGUGAAACAGAUCAGGGUGUGACAGUUACAGCAGCUGUCUGAAUACACCUGCUACAUCAUGGCUUUGGAAACAGGAAUAUGAAACGGAUGAAAGCACUAGGAUGGGGUCAAUUAGUAUGAUUAUUGCAUUCAAAAACCGUACAAUAGCACUUGCUCAUUUAUAGAGGGGUCUGGCUUAAAUCUAUCCAACAGCGAUUAUGUUUUAUUCCUCACGGUAUUGUUUCUAAUGCCACUCCCAUUUUUCGAAUGGCCAAUGUUUCAGAGCGCAAUAUUUUCAUUCAUUAAUACAUUGUAAUUCCGUAUUAUUUUAGCUGAUUGAUUAUUAUCUUAUGUAGCCAUUUGUUGGCUCACAAAAUCAUAUUAGCCAACAGGACGGUGCAUAAUGAACUUGAGGUUACGACGUGAGACCUCCAAUCAGAGCCAAUGAGUUAAUCUAUUUGACAGAAAGGUCGGAGGUCAGGGAUUACCUACUGAUAAGAGACAUUCCCAAUGAAUAACAAUGGCCAGAUUAACUUUAUGUGCGUGUGUGUCUAGCAGUCCAUCUGAUAGCUAGACAUUGAUGGAGAAUUGAGAUGUGUCUGUUUUACAUCCUAUAAUGAGAAGAGAUGCCUUUUGUUUCCAUCCCAGUGAUUCUAUGGUUGACAGAAAGACAUUGUUUCUUCAAGGUAUUUUCUAUGAUAAUCUGGUAGCAUGUGUGUUUGCAUACAGAACAAACACUCCAAUUGGGUCAGGGAAUAAGUCUGGGAAUAUUUUUGUAUAUCUGAUUCAAAUCAUGAUAUUCAAAUCAUUUAUAUACAAACAGUGUACCCGAAAGAGAAAUCUAAGGGAGCUUCUCUGUGCUAUUGUCUGUUGGUUGGGCUGUUGCUCUGUCCUCCUGUCCUCAGGUCUCCUGAGGGUCACCUGAUUGGAAGUGUUCCAGGUGGAUCUACCUUCCUGGUCAAACUGGCUCUCUAGGGGAGGAGUCCAAGGUAAACAAUCGCACAGCUACCUAGUGUGUGUGCGUGUGUGUAUGUGUGUGUGUGUGUGUGUGUGUGUGUGUGUGCGUGUGUGUGUGUGCGUGUGUGUGCGUGUGUGCGUGCGUGUGUGUGCGUGCGUGUGACUGUCAGGGGAGUAAGGGCAGCACCUGCUCAGUUGCCCGGGUAACAGCAGGUGCGGCAUAGGUGUGUGUGGGUCUGGAGGUUGAGCGAUACAAAUCUCCGGGGUUUCUGUGGUUGUGGAGGUGUGAGACGUGAGAGAACUACGAAUGGCCUCACAGCCUCAGCUCAGAACCUGCAGGCCUCUCAGUCAGGGCAGAGUAACAUCCUACAUAUUAAUGCAAGUAGAAUUCAGGUUGCUGGUUGUAUCCAGACAUCCACAUUGUUUUAAAGAGCCACUGAACACAGCGAUUGUGUUUUUCUCUUGCUCAUUGGAAAAAUGAGAUUUCAGUCUUGGAGGUGUGUUUCCUGACCUAUUCUGCAUUUGGGUAAUGAUGUUUGUCCCCCAUGAGACACUGUAGACGCACGCGGAACCCUAUUUCACUUCCUCAAAAUCUCCAGAAUGAAUCUAAGAUAACUCAAGAAAUCUGUAAAUAAUUUUGAGUUUUUUGUCACAUGUUUUAGUUGUGCAAUUUUACAUCUAACUAAGUUGUUUGGUUUAGUAUUUCUCAAGUAACAAAAAAAUGUGCGAUGUGUUGUCUUGUGUAAACAAAGUCGGAGCUGCUUGGCAGGUCUGUCUCACUGUCUAUUCUAUUGGAUAGAGAGCAAUCACUGCAGCUGUUCACCCCAUGUUAGUGGGCAAAUCAAAGCCUUCAUUUACCCGUUGCGACGCAUGGCAUUUUCCAAACUCUGUUUUAGACAAGACUAACUUUAUGACCAAAAUCAUCCUAUUUACACGAUGUAGCCAGUGAGAAAGAAUAACACAGGAGUAACCUAAACUGUGGUUUUAGCUUUAGAGCACAUAGCAUAGAACCAUGUUGUACUAGUCUGUGUGUUUGUUUGUCCUGUUGACGUCCCUGAGGGUCUCCUAUCUCUGGUUUGGGUAGGGGUCAGGGGUCAGGGUUGAGGUUAGCACCCCUGUUUGACCUCUGGGUCACAUAAGGGCUGUGACAGGAGAUAGUGUGUGUGUUUAUGUGCUGGAAAGUGCAUGGCUAUAACCUGGUCUCUAGUAGAUAAUUGUGUUUGUAUCACACAAUGAAGAUUACCAUGAAGCCCUCUGGCCACAGUCCAAAUAUGAGUCUUUAUACUUAACCUGUGAUUGUUGAAGGAGAUAAUUGAAGAUAGCAGGGUCGGGGAAGAUAGGCAGCUAUUUUCAUUUUUUUCCAGACAUUUCCUUUCUCUUUCAUUUUAAAAGUGAACAUUAGCAUUUCUCCUGUCAAUGAAAAGAGAGUCUGUAAAAGAUUUGGUCCUGCUGCAUUGUCAGUAUGAUGAACUGACAUUCAUUUCCACUUCUCUGUUUGCUGUAGCCACUCUCGAAAAGUGUGUGUGCGUGCGUGUGUAAGUGUGUGUAAGUGUGUGUAUCUUUUUUGUGAUGUGAAGGCAGGGAUUACCCUGUAAGAAAACACACACAGGAAGUUCAUAGGAAG